RNAcentral lists this ribosomal RNA (248 nucleotides) under uncultured Oscillibacter sp. Its description in RNAcentral is "partial 16S ribosomal RNA". It matches the Rfam family "Bacterial small subunit ribosomal RNA", at positions 524 to 771 of the family's 1533-position model. The record is from RNAcentral. Lineage: Bacteria; Bacillati; Bacillota; Clostridia; Eubacteriales; Oscillospiraceae.
UACGUAGGGGGCAAGCGUUAUCCGGAUUUACUGGGUGUAAAGGGCGUGCAGCCGGGCUGGCAAGUCAGGCGUGAAAUCCCAGGGCUCAACCCUGGAACUGCGUUUGAAACUGCUGGUCUUGAGUACCGGAGAGGUCAUCGGAAUUCCUUGUGUAGCGGUGAAAUGCGUAGAUAUAAGGAAGAACACCAGUGGCGAAGGCGGAUGACUGGACGGCAACUGACGGUGAGGCGCGAAAGCGUGGGGAGCAA